CUUUUUGGAAGCAAAACGGGCCUCAGGCUGGGGAUGGUUGGGAGGAUACCAUAGUGCAGAUGUCUCCUUCCCCUCUGUAAAUAGUAUUUUUAUACUUCAUCUUCACCAUCACCAUCUCAGGCUUUACACGUGCAGCCCCUCCCCCACCCAGGAUGGAGGGGGGGGCUGUGGAGUGUCCCCUUCCUUCCCUGAACAGGGCGGCUGAGAGUGGGAAAAGGUUAUGUAUUUAAAGAAAAUUAAAUUUAAUAACAUGUUUCUCUAAUCAAAUUUUUGGCUUGUGGUUGUGGCCUGUGCCAGGAGAGGGAACAGAGCUCUUUACCUGCCUUCCCCCAGUCAGACCAUACUUGAGGUUUCUAAUCCUUAACAAAACCUGAGGGCUGGACAUCUAUCUCAACAAUAGAGUGCUUGGGUAACAUGCUCAAGGCCCUGGGCUCAGUUUUUGGAAUGGAAAAAAAAAAAAAAAAAGUGGGGAGGGAGGAUUAACUUAUUGAACACUGGUAUAAAAUAAGAUCUGAUGAAGCCAGGAUCAAUCGUUGGAAGUUUUAGAAACAUUGUAAAGUUGAUUUCAAGCACAGCAUUCACUCAACUGACUUGAAUUCUACCUGGUGGUUGAUUGUCAGUGAUCUGGCGACCUCAGAGGCCCAUGUAGCUACCCUGGCACCCCAUCUCUUUACUAAUCCUGUGUCGCUGACAGUCCCUCCCUGGCACAUCCUAGCCUCCUACACACAUCUAGAAUUCCAUGUGGUAGCAACAGGUAUGACCCUGCGUGCAUCCAGAUCCUCCACCCACAGCCUCCAGCUUAGCUUUGCCAGUUUCCCAAGGGGCCUGCUGUCAACAGUGAGUGCGAUCAGAAUGGGAUGGUGUUGGGAACACCUUUCUUAAGCAUAAGGUAACUAGACCCUGGUUGGCCCUUGCUUGGGAGCACAAAUCGAUGCCAGUCAAGCAGGCAGCACGCCUUGGGUGCUGAGCUCAGGAAAGCCAUUUGCUGAGCAUGGUUUGGAUUGAUGUCAGCUGUGAAAAAGCUACCCAUCAUUGAGUACUAGAUACCUGGAGUAGGUAUAGUGCUGUCUUACUCAGCCAUUGUCUUAUGCAUCUUGGACAACACCAAGGUGUAAUUGGGUACCUGACUAUGGGCUCUUCUACAGGAAGGUGCCUUUACUCUUUACAUUAAGUGACCCCUGCUUGCUAUUGUCAACCUUAAGAGAAACAGAUCUCUCUCCACUGGGUCACCACUUCCUCUUCUAGCAGUGAUAGUCUGGAAGUAUUGAGGAAUUUUGAUGUAUUUUCUCAGCCGAUUUCAGCCUACCCCUCAGUUCCUGCUGCAGGUGGAUUCACUGGUGGAGAAAGUAAUCAGGUUGGCUUUGUAUCUCCCACCUCAUCAUCUCUCCUUGCAACUGGGAGGGUUCAUCAGUGUUAGCAUCCUGAUGAAAAUGUUAGCACGAAAAAGCUUGUUUCACAGCUUUCAAAACAGUGUUACCAGGUCAAAAUGAUGUGGGGGCAGGAAAUACCUUUUAUUCCCCGUGCUUCUAUUGAACCUGGGUGGUAUAUAUUACAGAGUACACAGAAGGGAAAAUGAUACUGGUUAGCUGAUCAGCUCAACUGGCAGCCGCUAAGCACAAUUAGACACUAUGUCCCCAAUUCACACAGUCACCUGUGAAGUCUUGUGACUUGGUUAAGCCUUUUUAGAACACCUGCUGCCUGGUUUGGCCACUUGACAGGCAAAUCCUGACCUUGGCGAAAUGGUGUGAGCACUGUGCUUGGGUGGCAAGCUCACAUAAUCGAGAUCUUUACUCAGCUGUCUUUUCAGCAGCAGCCCGAGUGUAUAUUGCCAAGACAUGAUGCUCAAUCAGCAGCCCGAGUGUAUGCCAAGACAUGCUCAGUCUAGGGAGCAGUAAUGUGGACAUUGACUUUGAUUAACCAGACUGUGGGGACCAGAGAGUUCAAACCAUUCUGUAUGAACUGAGGUGGGAAAGACAGUAGGUUAGAACAUAAAGGGAGGAAGUACUGUGUGGAAGCCAGGAACAGGAUUGGAUAGAGUAAGCACCCUGAACUUUAUUUACAUAAAACUUAAAAAAAAAAACCCACUAUGUUCCAUCUGAGAACUAAGCAAAUUAUUCUCUCCUCUGGGUCCUAUAUAUAGCCACAGGCAGCUACAAUAGACCUAUAACUAUUCAAAUUAGCAAAGAAUGUAUACCUUGAAUAUAUCUGAAAGGGAAAAAGAUCAAAGGAAGUUGUGUUGUGACCAGUACAUGCCAGCUUCAGCAAAGAAGGGUUUUUGUUCUUUCCCCCCAACAGAAGACAUUUUUCUUGCUUCUCUGAAUAUACUGAAUUUAGGAUUAGUUUGUUUAAAAAAAAAUCGGUGCUCACAUAAUUAGACACUAAGUGUCAGCUAACUAACACAACCCCAGGCAGUGUGGAUCCAAGGUCAGUGUCACUUUCCUUGCCCCACAGUUUUGAAAGCAGAUGGUGCUAAAGACUCUCAAAGUACCAGGUGCUGUCAAGCCUGGUGCAGUCUGGGAAGACAAGCCUCAUCAUAGGCCUGUGAGCUGUACCCUAGCCACUGUUAGGAACAGGGCAGGGUCUUGGAAUUUAUAGUCUGUGUUUGAUUACUUGUUUAAUUUGGUGUCUCUUGUGUUUAAUUCCACAAUGAAUGACUUUUU
This 2660-nucleotide long non-coding RNA is filed under the name Mus musculus (house mouse). RNAcentral's name for it is "long non-coding RNA chr8:31129402-31132062". Lineage: Eukaryota; Metazoa; Chordata; Mammalia; Rodentia; Muridae. The record is from RNAcentral.